Molecule: ribosomal RNA, 405 nt
Filed under: uncultured bacterium
Lineage: Bacteria
Description: partial 16S ribosomal RNA
Rfam family: Bacterial small subunit ribosomal RNA
Source: RNAcentral
GACGAACGCUGGCGGCGUGCUUAACACAUGCAAGUCGAGCGGAGCGGCGAACGGGUGAGUAACGGGUGAGUAACUGCCCCCCUCUCUGGGAUAACAGUUGGAAACGGCUGCUAAUACCGGAUAGUGGGGGCUGACUCGCGUCCUAUCAGUUUGUUGGUGGGGUGGUGGCCGACCAAGGGGACGACGGGUAGCCGGCCUGAGAGGGCGACCGGCCACAUUGGGCUGAGAUACGGCCCAAUCUGCAACGGGAGGCAGUAGGGGGGAGUAUGGCACAACGGGGGAACCCCUGAUGCAGCAGCGCCGCGUGCGGGAUGACGGCCUUCGGGUGGUAAACCGGUUUCAGCCAAGACGCGGUAGUGUCAGAAGAAGCACCGGCUAACUACGUGCCAGCAGCCGCGGUAAUUC